Molecule: long non-coding RNA, 832 nt
Filed under: Brachypodium distachyon (stiff brome)
Lineage: Eukaryota; Viridiplantae; Streptophyta; Magnoliopsida; Poales; Poaceae
Description: long non-coding RNA (BDIS_LNC000342)
Source: RNAcentral
CCGCCCAGUAAAAGAUCCACUAUUAGACGCGUUUAAUUCGUUCUCCACAUGGACGUCUUCGUCCCUGGUCAGCGCGCCCGGGCGCCGUCGCCGGCCGGUCGCCACGUGCCCGCAGACUGUAUUGUUCCGCCUGGACCAACAAAUCCCAAAGUCAAACAUAACGUGCAGGCAGCUGCCGCGAUGCGAAUUUGAGCUCCGUAUGUACUCCGUACGUAUAUAAUGUCUGCUUGAGUUCUGUUUUUUUUUUCUUGCUCCUUCGCAAUGUAAUGUAAUUUCUCAUCUGGAACUUGCAGGGCAGCUUCUGUCUCUUGGGUAACAAUGACUGGGUAGCUGUUUUUUUAUUUUCAGAAGAUGGAGUAUUGGGCACUCUGGCGAAAAAAGAAGAAGGACGGACUCGUACGCGGUGUUGGAAAUGCGGUAGAGAAGAAUGAACCGUGCGGUGUAGAAAACAGAGGAUUAAUCUUAGCCGGCAAGCUAAGACGAACCCAAAGCAAAUGUAGCAUGCAUGAGUAAUAAACGAAUAACAUACGGGUCGAAGUACGGAAGAUGGUCACAGUGUGGCGUAUUUUUCAGUUAAGUGAGAAUUAACAAGUCGGAUGAACACACGACCAAGAAUAUGUAUGCACGCCGUUAAGAUGUUUGAAAGCAUGCCUGAUCCAAAAGCAAAUAACGAAGAUAAAGCACUGAUGGAAAAAAUAUACUCAUUCAAGAUGCACUCGAUCACUUCUAACCACGUUGUCUGAAAAGGACAGGUUCUUGCGAGAUGAGCUGACCUGGCUCUGACAAAAGCUGUCCGUUUUUCCAGCGACUCCCGUGUCUCAUUUUUCUGUCU